Molecule: non-coding RNA, 78 nt
Organism: Zootoca vivipara (common lizard)
Lineage: Eukaryota; Metazoa; Chordata; Lepidosauria; Squamata; Lacertidae
Source: the annotation of a RefSeq genome assembly
GUCUAGCUGAAAUAGCUCAGUCGGUAGAGCAUGAGGCUCUUAAUCUCAAGGUUGUGGGUUCGAGCCCCACGUUGGGCA